This 64-nucleotide transfer RNA is filed under the name Acraea egina. RNAcentral's name for it is "tRNA-Arg". The record is from RNAcentral. Lineage: Eukaryota; Metazoa; Arthropoda; Insecta; Lepidoptera; Nymphalidae.
GAAUAAGAAGCAAUUUUUUGCAUUUAAUUUCGACUUAAAAGUUAGAGUUUUUACUCCUUAUUUA